RNAcentral lists this ribosomal RNA (475 nucleotides) under uncultured bacterium. RNAcentral's name for it is "bacterial SSU rRNA". It matches the Rfam family "Bacterial small subunit ribosomal RNA", at positions 28 to 517 of the family's 1533-position model. The record is from RNAcentral.
GAUGAACGCUAGCGGCAGGCCUAACACAUGCAAGUCGAACGGUAACAUGAGUAGCAAUACUUGAUGACGAGUGGCGCACGGGUGCGUAACGCGUAUGCAACUUACCUCUAACUGGAGAAUAGCCUUCCGAAAGGAAGAAUAAUACUCCAUAAUAUUACGAUGUGGCAUCACAUUGUUCUUAAAGCUUCGGCGGUUAGAGAUGGGCAUGCGUCUGAUUAGCUUGUUGGUGAGGUAACGGCUCACCAAGGCAACGAUCAGUAGGGGGCCUGAGAGGGUUAUCCCCCACACUGGUACUGAGACACGGACCAGACUCCUACGGGAGGCAGCAGUGAGGAAUAUUGGUCAAUGGACGAAAGUCUGAACCAGCCAUGCCGCGUGCAGGAUGAAUGCCCUAUGGGUUGUAAAGCUCUUUUACCAGGGAUGAUAAUGACAGUACCUGGAGAAUAAGCUCCGGCUAACUCCGUGCCAGCAGCCG